Molecule: ribosomal RNA, 468 nt
Filed under: uncultured bacterium
Lineage: Bacteria
Description: partial 16S ribosomal RNA
Rfam family: Bacterial small subunit ribosomal RNA
Source: RNAcentral
GACGAACGCUGGCGGCGUGCUUAACACAUGCAAGUCGAACGGAAAGGCCCUGCUUUUGUGGGGUGCUCGAGUGGCGAACGGGUGAGUAACACGUGAGUAACCUGCCCUUGACUUUGGGAUAACUUCAGGAAACUGGGGCUAAUACCGGAUAGGAGCUCCUGCUGCAUGGUGGGGGUUGGAAAGUUUCGGCGGUUGGGGAUGGACUCGCGGCUUAUCAGCUUGUUGGUGGGGUAGUGGCUUACCAAGGCUUUGACGGGUAGCCGGCCUGAGAGGGUGACCGGCAACAUUGGGACUGAGAUACGGCCCAGACUCCUACGGGAGGCAGCAGUGGGGAAUAUUGAAAAAUGGGCGGAAGCCUGAUGCAGCAACGCCGCGUGCGGGAUGACGGCCUUCGGGUUGUAAACCGCUUUCGCCUGUGACGAAGCGUGAGUGACGGUAAUGGGUAAAGAAGCACCGGCUAACUACGUG